ACAUUUACAAACAUGGCAAUAACAAUGAAACAAGUACUUGGGUAUGUGUUUUCACUUCUAUUUACCAUUCAAUAUCGCACUCGCUGCUGUCAGUCCCAUAACAGAACAUGAGAGCGCAGCGUGUGUUUGGAACUACCCAGGCCUCCAUGAACCAUGUGACCACCCCGCUAGCGAGAUCAAAGAGUGUCACAACUCUCUCUCUCUCUACGGCUCUGGU
This is a long non-coding RNA of Etheostoma spectabile (orangethroat darter), 217 nucleotides long. RefSeq lists it as uncharacterized. The record is from RefSeq and is a predicted model, not a curated record. NCBI's taxonomy places the organism in Eukaryota, Metazoa, Chordata, Actinopteri, Perciformes, Percidae. The transcript has 3 exons.